GCAUCAUCAAGAGAACCUGCUUGUUGUGAUUGAUGACUAGCUUCUAUCCUGACAGUUGAAGGACCAUCAGUGGUCUGACGUUGCUGAAGACUAGAAGCUCUAGUCAGAUCUCGAUAUAGAUUGAUCAGAUCAAAAAACUGUGAUUCAAAACUCCACCCUGACAUCCUCCUGCGAAGUAAGGGGUCAAGGAACUGUCUGAAGGAAUUUAAUCUUUGUUCUUCAGAAUCAGUUGUACUCAAUUCUGACUGUCGUGCCUCGUCAGUUGCACCAGCACUACCUUCCUCCACAUCAACCUUAGAUUCUUCAAGCAACGCCAACUGCCAAAGAAUUUCACGAUGAAUACGACCAAUAUCUUCCAAGACAUCUUUGCUUCCAUUUCCAAACUCUGUUAACAGA
This 396-nucleotide unclassified non-coding RNA is filed under the name Hevea brasiliensis (rubber tree). Lineage: Eukaryota; Viridiplantae; Streptophyta; Magnoliopsida; Malpighiales; Euphorbiaceae. The record is from RNAcentral.